GAUUCAAUGCACGUGGAGGCCAAUUCGAGGGGCAAAGGCGUCGCGAGCUAGAGUUUUAGCCGGUUUGAGGUGAGUAAUGAUUGUAAAUGAUACUCUGAGGGUUUGAAACCCCAGACUGCACAUCGUAGUGCUAUUUUGAUGUGAGACACACGUUUGAUGACGAGCGUGUGGUCGUAUACUAUUGGGGACUGUACUUGGUCCAUCCCGAUUGAUGAUUUUUACCGCGUAUUUGACUGAAACUUAUUUGCUAUCAUCAUACUUUGGGCUAAUUGCUAUAUUUGGGCUUCGUGCCAACUAUUUGAACCCUUCGGGAAUUUUUAUUACCAUUUCCUUACUAUUUUGAAUUAUUACUUGAACUCAGUCCCGUUAUUUUCCACUGUUUUACUACUCAGCCAUUUUUACUCAGUUUUGAGACUUAAAUAAUAUUUUAAAUGAUAUUUUGUGCUGAGAAAUACUAUUUUACUAUUGCCCGAGGGGCUUGUGAUGAUUUUCGAACUGAGUAAGGCCGAGGGCGUAGUUGUGAGGAUACACUGGUAUUGAUAUGAGGCCGAGGGCCUGAGAUACAUAUAUACGCCAUGAGGUGGCUUGAUUGAUAUGAGGCCGAGGGCCUAGAUUUGAUGCCACGAGAUGGCUUGAUAUUGCGCUUGGGCCGUAAGGGGCCCUUCUCGGAGUUUGUACACCCCAGUGAGCGUGGGUAGCCAUUGUGAUGUGAUAUUAAGCCUGAGGGGCUGGUACUGUUCUAAUAUUGAGCCCGAGGGGCUGUUACUGUUCUGAGAUGUUGUCCGGGGGGCGGGGGGGAUGUGUUGAUAUUGUACCCGAAGGCAAACUUCUAUUUGAUUACUUACCUGAUAAUUACUUGUUUUACUUGUUGAAAAAAGGAUCUUCACUUGACUUUUCAUUGUUUUACUGUUUUAAGUGAUUUUACUGCUUCAGUAUGGAAUGUCUUGUGUUUUACGUGAUUUCUUACUUUUAGUCAUUAUUUAUGCUUAUUACUCACUGGGUCAGAUUACUCACAUUACUCCCUGUACCAUGUGUGCAGAUUCAGGCAUUAUUGGUUCCGCUCCUGAGUGUUGAUUCCUCCAGUUCCAGGAGGCUUUCAGGGAUUACGAAGUAGUUGUUGACGUCCGCAGCCCCGUGUCUCUAUUAUCUUGUCAUUUCUAUUCCUUUAGAACAUUUGUACUAGUUAUUGGGUCUAGUAGACUUGUAUUAUGACUCGUAAAUGCUCAUGACUUGUGACACCCGGUUAGGGCUGUGUUGGGAUGGAUUCCCGCAUUGUUAUCUAUAUUUCUGUUAUUUAGUAUUUUUUAAACCAUGUUUAGACUAUAUUUGUGUUAAUUAACUGCUUUAAAAGAUGAAUUGGAUUUAACUGGCUGGUCUUGUCUUCACGAGAGGCGCCACCAUGAC
This 1404-nucleotide long non-coding RNA is filed under the name Nicotiana tabacum (common tobacco). RNAcentral describes it as "long non-coding RNA (NTAB_LNC004645)". Lineage: Eukaryota; Viridiplantae; Streptophyta; Magnoliopsida; Solanales; Solanaceae. The record is from RNAcentral.